AAAAAACCCUCUUUGCCUCAUGUUAUUACCACUAAGAUUUCCCUGAGGAAUAAGUUUGUUUUAAUAAUUAGCUUAGAUGUUAGAAUGAAUAAUAGACUAUUAAUCUGGACAUUUUUGGGGUGGAAAUCUGAAUUGGUGCACUAGAAGUUCCAGCAAAGAGUAAUUGCAGAGCCCAAAAAAUUAAGAGAAAAAAGGGAAAGUCAGUGACACUGUAGAAUAAGCAUACUCCAUGGGCAUUUUCAUUCAAGGCAAGAUGUAAGUAUAAGCCACCUGGAGCCUUGGUUCAAAGUUACCUGAAAUUAUAGGAAGUACUCUGUGGGCUGGGAUGGAAGACAUGACAAGUGCAGCUCUAAAGGGCUCACUCAUGCUACCCUUCAUUUGAGGUACUGUGGAACAGCAUUUGGCAAGAGGCUGUAGAAUUUGGAGGCCUGAGGUGCAAGAUGCUGAAUGAAAGCCCAGGCUAGACAGCAGAGGCCACUGUCAAAAAAGGCGUGUGGGGCUGGCUGGGCUCUGGCUGUGACCCACUGCUGCAGCUCUCGUGACAUUCGCUACAGGGACGAGGCUAUCGCGCCCCUCACACCAGCCACGGAAGCUGACAAGAUGCAGAAAGGAGUGCAAACGGCGCCCUAAUUAAUAGUGAUGCAAGAGCAGCUCUGGGGCACUCUGCCUCCCCAAGACGUGACAACUCCCAGGACUGGCACAGGAGCGAUAGGGGCUCUACACCAUCCCCGGAGCGUAGCUUGUUGCUUGAUACCAUAGUUUAGUACUAAGUAUGCAAGUGCAUUUUCAGCAUAGCUGAUGGCAGAAAUUGCACUUCUAAGCUCUCUGGUGUAUUUAUAUGCUUAAAGGAUUAUGAAUUACAGCAAACCAGUACCAUUUGCAAUGUUUUGCUUUCUAUUCUACAGAUUCAAUUACUUGAGGGCAUAUUUGAUUGUAUAUUUAGUUAGAAUAGGGGUUUGCUCUGGUUAUUUUACAUUUUCAUUACAGUAAGUUAAUGCAGAGGCAGACCUCAAUCUAGAGAGUCAUGCUAAACUUCAGCAGUGUUACUUGACUGAGUAAAGUUAAGUAUAUGGGUAGGUAAAGAGGUAAAGAUUAAGAACAAACCUCAAUAAACAGGCAUCUCUAA
Molecule: long non-coding RNA, 1126 nt
Filed under: Taeniopygia guttata (zebra finch)
Lineage: Eukaryota; Metazoa; Chordata; Aves; Passeriformes; Estrildidae
Description: lncRNA (ENSTGUG00000020600.1)
Source: RNAcentral